This is a long non-coding RNA of Drosophila sechellia, 183 nucleotides long. RefSeq lists it as uncharacterized. The transcript is spliced from 3 exons. Lineage: Eukaryota; Metazoa; Arthropoda; Insecta; Diptera; Drosophilidae. The record is from RefSeq and is a predicted model, not a curated record.
UUUCAGGUACAUUUGUUGCAGCUUUUAUUGAGGCCGUCGCAGCUGAGAUCCCGUGGUUUUGAGUUCUUCACGUUUGAGAUUAAUCUGGAGGUACGUUUGUAGCAGCUGAUAUUAAAGCCGUCGCAGCUGGUAUGCCAAGGUUUGCAAUUAAUCUAGAGGUACCAGUUUGCGAUUAGUCUGGAG